UGAAACGUGUGGUCAAACAGUUUGGUGUCAGUUUAAUCCUCCUGAUGUUGGACAUUCACACCGUGCCCAUGCUGGAGGUGUGACACCAUGAGCAUGGAACCUCCCCAAAGAAAUCCGGGUUUCAAGGAGCAUUGGCUGUGAGAGAAUAGUAUUGGUGAUCAUGUAUUGAAACUUGAUCAGAGCCUCGCAUCAAGUCUGGGAUGAAGUACAAUCAAACUGACACUGCCCUCUGGAUGACUUGCAGUGAGAGGUUUCUCCUGGGCUAAUUAUCCCGACGACUAAAAGAACAGCUGAGUGGAAUCAGAACGCGUUCACAGGGCCGUCACACCCAGCUCAGCCCUUUGGUUUACCUCGAUGAAUUUAGCAAACGAAACUCCUGUGAACCCGCAUAACGUGCGCCUGCUUACACGCAGCUGCGCUGCCCUGCGCUCCCAGACAGAACGCGGCGGUGCGACAAAGGCUUUUAGUGGAAAGUGUUGCUGAGCGAAGUUCCGUUUUCUGACGGGCGCACAGAGGCGCGAGGCGAGGCCGCCCUGCAGGAGGAGCGCCUUCGUUUCCGCGCACGAGAGAAGCGGCCGCUGCCGUCGAUGCCCGUCGGGGAGCACAUCAGGGAGGAUGCUAUGCUCAAACUGCUCGUGUGAUUUAGCCAGCGUGGGUACAGCAGCAACAAAAAGAAGAGCUUUGGCACGGUUUGGCCAGCUGGUCUGCUUCAGGUCCUGAGCACAGCUCUUGCUCUGGUUGUAAGGACAGCUUCGUGUUGGUGAAGGCCAAGUCCCAGUGCACACAAGCUCUGACACACGGGCAGCUCUGGAGGUGCCUCACUGUGUGCUGCACUCCACGUGUCAGGGAUGCAGUGUUCUCCCCUAAGCAGGCUGCAAUCACAUCUCUGAUGGGAACACUCUGGAUUAGGCAUUUGAAAGUGAGCAGCCCUCCUCCUGUGGUGGGGCAGAUCCUCAUCCUCUGCAGGUGUGAAAAGGGAGCGCGGCCAGUUGAAGUGUGCCAGGCUGCAGGCGGCAUGAUGUGCUGGGAGCAGCCAGCAGAAGAACACAUGGAACUACACUGCACAACAAACUGUUGUGACAUGAGGAUGGGCUGUCCCGACAUGAAGAUGGGCUGUCGUGACAUGAGGAUGGGCUGUCGUGACAUGAGGAUGCUGUCACAACACGCCAAGUUUCUGGGUGCAGGUGGGAGCUGUCCAGCAGGGCCUGGAGCUGCAGGGGCUCCCAGCUGCUGCUCUGCCUCACAUCCUGGGAGCCACCGACUCUGUUCUGCUGCACCAGGCAAACACCAGGGGUUGGUUUCAUCUCCUGUAAAAGCAAGAGAAACGGUGUGCAGUGAGUCCUCCCUUCUUUAUGAGCACACACACACACACACACGGUUUGUGGCCUCGGUGUUGGUGCCAAACAAGCUCAGCACAGCUGUGGCAGCCCUCCAUCCCUGCUGGAAAGGAAGCACCCACCUGCACAGGUCACUGUGGGAAACACAAAACUGA
RNAcentral lists this long non-coding RNA (1492 nucleotides) under Phasianus colchicus (ring-necked pheasant). Its description in RNAcentral is "lncRNA (ENSPCLG00000000228.1)". The record is from RNAcentral. Lineage: Eukaryota; Metazoa; Chordata; Aves; Galliformes; Phasianidae.